UCCCUCAUAGCUCAGUUGGUAAAGAAUCUGCCUGCAAUGCAGGAGACCCGGGUUCGAUUCCUGGGUGGGGAA
RNAcentral lists this transfer RNA (72 nucleotides) under Bos taurus (domestic cattle). It matches the Rfam family "tRNA". Rfam says of the family: Transfer RNA (tRNA) molecules are approximately 80 nucleotides in length. Their secondary structure includes four short double-helical elements and three loops (D, anti-codon, and T loops). RNAcentral also lists the same sequence under 3 other names. Lineage: Eukaryota; Metazoa; Chordata; Mammalia; Artiodactyla; Bovidae. The record is from Rfam by way of RNAcentral.